UUCAGGAAGUUAUGAAACACAUUUUCCCUGACAGCAUUCUCUGGAGAAAAAGUUCACUUCAUAAAGGAGGAGGAGAACAAUGAAAUAAUCAGUAACACACGCCACCACAACAACCUCUCCCUACCAGAGAAAAAGGCCAUAGAAUCUCUAAGAUGUAACCACCAAAGAGUAAUAAAACCAGCAGAUAAAGGAGAAGCCAUAGUCAUCUUAAACUGUGAAGACUACAUAAAGGAAGCCAAUGUCAGACAGCUCUCUGACACCACCUACUACAAAGAACUACAAGAAGAUCCUACUCCCCUUUUCACCAAGAAACUCAACAAUACCAUCACAUAAUUUCCAUCAGGACUACAAGAAAAGCUACUGACCUUGAUCCCCCCACUACCUAACCCGGGGACUUUUUACAUGCUCCCUAAAAUCCACAAACAAGGGAACCCUGGCAGACCUAUCAUAUCUAACUAUGGGACCCUAACCAAGGAAAUAUCAGGUUUUGCAGAAUCAAUCCUAAAACCGCUUGUCACCCUCAGAGCAAGUUUUGUCCAAGACACUACAGACUUUCCAUGGAAACUUAAAAAUAUAGACCACCUUCCCAGCAACACCCUCCUAAGCCACCAUUGACAUUACCAGCCUAUAUACCAACAUCUCACACCAGGACGGCAUUCAAGCCUGCCUUACAUAUCUACAGGAACAAAAUUACAACUCAGAAUACAGGCCCAAAGAUAUUACUGACCUUAUACACUUCAUCCUCACACACAACAAUUUCACUUUUAAUAACCAACACUUCCUCCAGACGAUGGGAAUAGCUAUGGGCACCAAAAUGGCCCCACAGUAUGCCAACCUUUUUAUGAGCCACCUGGAAGAAGACUUCCUCAAGACCUGCACCAUCAAACCCUUGCUAUACUUAAGAUAUACUGAUGACAUCUGCAUCAUUUGGACUGAAAACCUGCAAUCUCUGAUUGAGUUCCAUCAGAAAUUCAACAAUCACCAUCCCUCCAUCUGACCUUCUCUAGAGUACUCCAGCACCAACAUCUCCUUUUUAGACAUGAUGAUCAGUAUCCAGAAUGAUAAAAUACAGACCACUUUAUACAAGAAACCCACAGACCAACAUACAUAUCUGCACAGAACCAGCAAUCACCCUAAACACACCAAAAAAGCUGUGAUCUACAGCCAAGCCCUCAGAUACCACCGCAUUUGCACUGAAGAGAACACCCAGGAUUGCCACCUCACCAAUCUUAAAAAGGCUUUCAUCCAACUUUUUAUUCCAUCCAGGAAGAGCACACACCAACUGCUGAAGCUUCCUUAGCCUGAUGAAGGGUUUUUGAACCCUAAAGCUUGCUUAAUAACUAUUCUCCAACCGUUUGGGUUGGUCUAAUAAAAGAUAUCAAAUUCACCCAAGGAACCUUGUCUGCCUAUGUCCUUAGACCAACACGGCUACAACCCAAACCCCUUCACCCAACAAGGACACUCCUCCAGAGAGAUACAUCACACAUUUGAAAGAGCCAACUGGAUACUAGGUGAAGAACUGCUGCAGUACAGAAGAAAACUGCCACAAAUCGCACACCACUGGUUAUGACAUAUCACCCUCCCUUGAACCUGUACAGAAAAUCCUCAAACAACUGCAGCCCAUACUAGAAAGAGACCCUAUUCUUAAAGAGAUCUUCCCAGAGCCACCCAUCCUAGCCUUCAAACAAGCACUGAACCUCGCUAACCUCAUCACCAGAAGCAAACUUCCUCAAGCCCAAAACACACCAAAUGGAUCCAGACCAUGCCACGACAAGAAAUGCAAAACCUGCCAACACAUCUCCACCACCCCCACUAUUACUACACCCCACAACAGAGCCAUCAGCAUUCCCAGAUAUUACAGCUGCACCUCCAGAAAUGUAGUCUCUCUCAUCCAAUGCACCAAAUGCCCUGAUGGAAAACAUGCAGGAGAGACCAAACAACAACUGCGCACCAGAAUGAACGCACACCGGAAAGCUAUCAGAGACAGGAAUACCCAAUUACCGGUGGGGGCACAUUCUCACAAGAAAAACACUCUCUCUCCAAUCUCUCAGUCCUGAUCCUCAAAGGAAACUUACACAACACUUCUCAGAGACAAGCUUAUGAACUCCACUUCAUCAACCUCCUGGAUACUAAAAAUCAUGGACUAAAUAUAGACAUUGGAUUUAUGACACAUUAUAACCUGCCUGACAUCCGACUCCCCAGGUACCUCUCCACUAUUCAUCCCCCUUCUCUCCCCACCACCCAUUGACUCCUCAGUCUACAUCUUCACUGACUGCCUGUCUUGCAUGCAGACCAGCCCGGCCUCUGGCUUCUUUACUUUUCAUUCCAUCCAAGGAAAGCACACACCAACUGCUGAAACUUCUUCAGCCUGACGAAGGGUUUUUGAACCCAAAAGCUUGCUUAAUAAUUGUUUUCCAACUAUUUAAGUUGGUCUAAUAAAAGAUAUCAGAUUCACCCAAAGAACCUUGUCUGCCUAUGUCCUUAGACCAAGACAGCUACAACCUACACCCCUGAAUCACCUACAGGCACUGGUUUGGCCCUCUAGAUGUAGCAGUGAAACCAUGGGGGGAGAAGUAGUGCGCACUUGGAAAGCAAGAAGAACAAACUCUACAAGAUAAAGAGAAGUGCUGGAUACAGUACAGAGAAAGGGGAAGGGCAGGUACAGAUUAGGAACGUUCGUUACUUUUUUAGACGUAAUUGACAGUCAGCGCUUUAGAAAAGAACCUCACAAAUUCAUACCUGUGCCUGCCAGACCCACUGCUUGUUUACUCUGAAAUCUUCAAACAAUAAACUGUAAAGAAAUUUGCACCACAAAAUGUACUUUUCCUUAUUUUUGUAUAAAGAACUAAAUGCUUUUCAAAAUACAGAGUCAAUGUAUUCAUGUUCAACAUCGCCCCCAAUACUACCAAGUUAUUGAGAGAAGUGAAAUAAAACUGUUGCAGAUUUUGUUGGAAUGAUCAGCUUUGUGGAUUAGAACAAAAAUUAAUAACUCUUUAUUAGAGUAUAAAUUAAUAAUAUAAUAAUGCUGAACAAUUAUAUAUCACUUUUACAUGUUUUCCAAUACUCUGCAUGCGUGCAUUAAUAAUUUACAUCAACAUUGUUCUCAUUUAAGGUUAACAAAUUAAAAUAUAUAUAAUUAC
Molecule: long non-coding RNA, 3140 nt
Organism: Alligator mississippiensis (American alligator)
Lineage: Eukaryota; Metazoa; Chordata; Crocodylia; Alligatoridae
Exons: 2
Source: RefSeq, a predicted model, not a curated record